AUGGGGCGUUCGAAGCAAAGCGUGGAUGAGACGGAUCUGGCAGAACUGCUGCAUCUCAAGGAGGAUGUUGCGGCCAAUCGGGAAGAGACCACAGGGUUGCGAGAGGAGGUGGAUUUGCUGCGGAAGGACAUCCAGGCUACCAACUUCAAGCAGGAUACGAUGACAAAGGUGAUUUCCGGGGUGCAAGCAGCAGUAGCAGCACUUGGAGGACAGCUCACAAUGAUCACAGAAGUGCUCAAAACUCUCAGCGCAGCAGCCCCAUCCACAUCAGUGGUUCCUCCUUCAACAGCACACGCCCAAGAGCCACAUCAGGAAAAAUCCCCAGAAGUUGAGGAAAUUCAGAAGGAAGGGGGGGACGAACAGCAGCGUCCUCUCGCUGAAGAACUUAAGAGGAGAUUAUUCAUGGAGCAAGAGAAAACUAGUCCGUUUGCACUGUUAACAGGCAACGAACUGCCUCCUAUCCAGACUGACAGACGAUCAGCUCCACCGGGGCUUUGGACCGCUACAAUUUCAAGAUAG
Molecule: ribosomal RNA, 519 nt
Filed under: Triticum aestivum (bread wheat)
Lineage: Eukaryota; Viridiplantae; Streptophyta; Magnoliopsida; Poales; Poaceae
Description: partial small subunit ribosomal RNA
Source: RNAcentral